CAGCUGUCCUAGGGGAGCCUGCAUUGGCUGAGAUUCCACCGCCACUUGGCGUUGGUAACCCUUAGAACCUGAUCCGGGUCAUGCCGGCGAAGGGAAGGAUGUAGCCAACCAA
RNAcentral lists this non-coding RNA (112 nucleotides) under Halomonas sp. Its description in RNAcentral is "TPP sequence". It matches the Rfam family "TPP riboswitch aptamer (THI element)". Rfam says of the family: Vitamin B(1) in its active form thiamin pyrophosphate (TPP) is an essential coenzyme that is synthesised by coupling of pyrimidine and thiazole moieties in bacteria. The previously detected thiamin-regulatory element, thi box was extended, resulting in a new, highly conserved RNA secondary structure, the THI element, which is widely distributed in eubacteria and also occurs in some archaea. The record is from RNAcentral. Lineage: Bacteria; Pseudomonadati; Pseudomonadota; Gammaproteobacteria; Oceanospirillales; Halomonadaceae.